AAAAUGGGUAAAGGAAGUCAGCGUAAAUGCAGAUGCUCCAGUGGAUAGCGCGAGCUUCAAACCAAAUGCUAUUGCGAGAUUGCUUUCAGGCAUUGGCACAGUGAAUGGCAGCUGAAAAAUUUUGACCCUUGUUUCUGGAAGUGAAAUGUUAGAUGGUUUGAUGAAGUGCCACAGAGAUUAUCGCUUAAAGAAUGCGUGCAGGCCAACCACCAACACAAGAUAUUAAAAA
Molecule: long non-coding RNA, 229 nt
Organism: Stegodyphus dumicola
Lineage: Eukaryota; Metazoa; Arthropoda; Arachnida; Araneae; Eresidae
Source: RefSeq, a predicted model, not a curated record